GACGUAGGGCGCGAGCGUUGUCCGGAUUUAUUGGGCGUAAAGAGCUCGUAGGCGGCUCGUUGCGUCAACCGUGAAAACCCGGGGCUUAACUUCGGGCUUGCGGUUGAUACGGGCGGGCUGGAGUUCGGUAGGGGAGACUGGAAUUCCUGGUGUAGCGGUGAAAUGCGCAGAUAUCAGGAAGAACACCCGUGGCGAAGGCGGCUCUCUGGGACGGUACUGACGCUGAGACGCGAAAGCGUGGGGAGCGAACAGG
This 253-nucleotide ribosomal RNA is filed under the name uncultured bacterium. Its description in RNAcentral is "partial 16S ribosomal RNA". It matches the Rfam family "Bacterial small subunit ribosomal RNA", at positions 524 to 776 of the family's 1533-position model. The record is from RNAcentral.